AGGUCUUUGGAUCUUUAUUGACCAUACUUCUGCCUCUCCAACCCCCAUUUUGCCUCUACUCCUUGUGACUUUGAGGAGGAGUUUGGCUGGCCGCCCAGAACAAGUUGAACAGCCUCCCAGGACCAGGAGCCACAAAGCAAAUACAGGCCAGCAGAGAAGCAGGCCCCUCUGUUCUGUAGAAUGCUAGCUCAUUCCAGAGGAAGAGGGGUGUGGGGUGUGUGUGGGGGCGGCGGGGCUAGGGGGAGUCUUGUGGUGGAGACUUGUUGUUCCACUGUGACUCAGCAUUCUGCUCCUCUGGAGGGGUUGGGCUUGGGCUCCAAAAGUGCAUUGUCAUGGAGGGGUAGGGCAGUCUGGAAGGCCUGGAGGGCUGUGGUUUUGUUGUGGAGAGGGAGGGUGGAGAGGAAAAGAGCUGGAGGGAAAGGAUGAGAGCUCCUGACUUCCCCAUAGCACACAGAAGCUUGACUGGGAAUAAAGAGGUCUUGGUCACUCUGCCAGGCUUUGGAUGAUAUUUUUGCCAGAAAGGCUCUUGCGGGGACGUCUCAGCAGAUAUUGGGUCUCUUUCCUUUCCAGUGAUUUGUCCCUCUGCAGUUACAGCUGCCAAAGAGUCCACAUCCACCAUUUGGUACAGUAGGGGCCGAGGGACACCAGGGUUUACAAAUCUCUGUGCUUUGUAGGGCAGAAGGCGAGACCCAAAGGUGGGAAUUCCUCGGGGGAAAUGUGGAGCAGAGUGUGCAAUGGAACGCCGGGGCAACCAUUAAACAUCACGCUCCAGUGAACACCCCGAACUUGGAUCUCCACCAAUGGAUUGGAGCUGAGGAACAACCCGGACAAAACCUCUGAACCAGACACAUUGUGGUCAUCUGUCAGCAGCGGUCAUUUUGUAAUUAAAUCUAGAUGUAGAACUCUCAGCUACGUCUCCAGCAUCAUGUCUGCCUGGAUGUUGCCAUGUUCUUCACAAUGAUGACAACAGAUUGAACCCCUGAAACUGUAAGCCAGCCCCGUUAAAUGCUUUCCUUUAUCAGAAUAGCUGUGGUCAUGGUCGUGGUGUUUUUUUCACAGCAACAAAACACUGAUUAAGACAAAGGCACAGACAGUAUUUUCAACAGAAUUAUAGAAGAAAUUUUCCCUACUGUAAAGGAGGAGAUGCCUUUCAAAGUACAGGAAGCAAGCACUAGUCAAAUAGACUGGACCAGAAAAGGAAGUUGUCUCAGCACAUAAUAGUCAGAAUACUAAGUGUGCAGAACAAAGAAGGAAUAGUAACAGCUACAAGGGAACAAGACCAAGUACAAGGACUACAUAAAAGUAGACAGAGCUAUUAGAAAUACACUUGACUUUUCAAUGGAGACUCUAAAAGCCAGGAGGGCCAGGACAGAUGUGCUGCAGACUCCAUGAGAUCACUGAGGCCAGCCCAGACUGAUAUACCUAGCAAUCACAAUAUUUGGAGGAAAUAAGAUAUUUCAUGAGAAAACCAAACUGAAGCAUUAGCUAUCUACAAAUCCAUCCCUACAGGAGGCACUAGGAGGAAAACUCCAACCCAGAGUGGUAACCACACCCAAAAGGCCCACAAAGAGUAAAUAAUCCCACACAAGCAAACCAAGAGGUUUGCUACACACACACACACACACACACACACACACACACACACACACACACACACAC
RNAcentral lists this small RNA (1659 nucleotides) under Rattus norvegicus (Norway rat). RNAcentral's name for it is "uncharacterized LOC102552566". The record is from RNAcentral. Lineage: Eukaryota; Metazoa; Chordata; Mammalia; Rodentia; Muridae.